UGGGGAAUUUUGCACAAUGGGGGAAACCCUGAUGCAGCGACGCCGCGUGAUUUAGAAGGCCUUCGGGUUGUAAAAAUCUUUUUUACGGGAUGAAAAUGACAGUACCGUAAGAAUAAGGUCCGGCUAAAUACGUGCCAGCAGCCGCGGUAAUACGUAUGGACCGAGCGUUGUCCGGAAUCAUUGGGCGUAAAGGGUACGUAGGCGGCCUAGUAAGUUAGAAGUUUAAGAAUAUAGCUCAACUAUAUAAAGCUUUUAAAACUGCUAGGCUUGAGAGAUGGAAGGGAAAGUGGAAUUCCUAGUGUAGCGGUGAAAUGCGCAGAUAUUAGGAAGAAUACCGGUGGCGAAGGCGACUUUCUGGUCAUCAUCUGACGCUGAGGUACGAAAGCGUGGGUAGCAAACAGG
RNAcentral lists this ribosomal RNA (402 nucleotides) under Bacteroidota bacterium. RNAcentral's name for it is "Bacteroidetes bacterium partial 16S ribosomal RNA". It matches the Rfam family "Bacterial small subunit ribosomal RNA", at positions 355 to 776 of the family's 1533-position model. Lineage: Bacteria; Pseudomonadati; Bacteroidota. The record is from RNAcentral.